Long non-coding RNA from Chenopodium quinoa (quinoa), 2489 nucleotides. RefSeq lists it as uncharacterized. The record is from RefSeq and is a predicted model, not a curated record. Lineage: Eukaryota; Viridiplantae; Streptophyta; Magnoliopsida; Caryophyllales; Amaranthaceae. The transcript has 3 exons.
AACCCAAUAAAUUAAUAAUCGGCCUAAAAGGAGUUAAGAGCUAUAAUUUUUUUUUUUAAGAAAACCACGCUUUAGUUCAAUCUAACAGCCUCACUCUCUUUUCUCUUUCUCUCUCUGUAACUCGCUUCUCCUUUCUACUUCUACCUUUCCCCAUUUCCCUCGUGACUCCACUACUUCCACCGCCAUUACUUCCACCACUACGCACCCCUUUCCACCGCCACCACACUUUAUCCUCAUUCUUCAUGGCAUCAAGGCGAUGGUGACGGUGGUCGCGAUUGGUUGUUAGAUUUUUAGAGUUUCAGGUGGCGCAUCUCUUUUCUCUCUUCUUCUUCACGGCGUCCCGCCUCCUCCUCCUUUGUUGUCUUGAGACAACCCAAAGUUUUUGUUCUUACCCCAUUAUUAUACUCACCUUAGAGGUUAAGGUUAUCUUAUGAUGUUGAAUAAUUUUAUAAUUUGGUUGAGUUUUUGUUAUUUCAGUUUUGAAAUUAGGGCUUUGGUUGAUUAUGGUUUUUUAUUUCGAUGCAUUUGUUACGGGUAUCCGAUUUUUAGUUGUUUUUAGAUGGAUUUUUGGUUGUUUUUAGAUGGAUAUUUGGUUGUUUUUAGAUGGAUUUGUUGUGGGUAUGCAAUUCCUUGGUAUUUUUGUUGUGGUUUUGAAUAAUCGAUUUGAAGUAGCAUUUUGAUCAAGUUCAUUUUUCUGCUUCGAAUAAUUUUGUAUAUUUGGUCUUGAUUUCAAUUUUUAAUAAUUUAUGUUAUUUAAGUUGUAGCAUAGAUUUGGUUGAUUAGUAGUUUACCAUGGUUAAAAAAUUAUUGGGUUCCACUAUUUACCAUGUCUGAUAUAAGUAUUUUCAAGUCUUUGCUUUCGCUACCAAUUGCUUAUUCCAAGGAUGGUCAUGGACAUGAUUUCUAGUGAGACAAAAUUAUCAAGGUGUAAGCUCUCCAUGUAGAUUUCUCUGGCUUAAUUUGAGGGACAAAACCGUUAAACAAGUUCGAGAUCUAAUGCCUUGGGAUGUCAUUUUUUGUGCCGGAAGCCUUAUUCGUGUUCCAAAUGGAGUGCCUGAUAACUCAUAGUGAUUAUGUCUUGGACGAGGUAAUUCAGAUUUUUUGAGCAAAAGCUCGUAUGAUGGUGUAGCCGCGUAGCCUGGGGCAUGAUACCCCUGCUGUCCUGCUGAUCUCUUAUGUAGUUAUAAGAGCUUUCCAUAUUUUGUAUGUCAGACAAUUUAGUUACCUUAAAAAGUCUACUGCUAAUCACUUCUGUUGUCUUAAGAACUAUCCAUGUUUUGUAUGGUGACUAUCUUGUUUUUACUAUGAGAGUCUUUGCUAAUUGCUUAUGUUGUCUUAAGAACUUGUCAUAUUUUAUAUGCUGAUAUGUUGCUAUUACCUUAUUAGUUAUGACUCUAUUGGGAUUAUUUAUCUUGUUCACAUCACUAUUAUCUAUUAUCUUUUGUUGUGAUGGAAAAUUUACAUAUGAGACUAGCAUUUGUAACGGUGUAGUGUAUUUUCAGAGAAGCAUCAAAGAUAUAAAUCGAAUAACUCGUUUUGUAUACACACCGGAACAUGGGAUUUGGUUCAAUUUGCAUUUAUUUUCAGAUUCAACACCCUUAAGCUUAUGUUUCUUGUUGCAAAGGCUUAAGUUUUAGCAUUUAUUUGAACUUCAUGCACUCAAAGAAAGCAACCGAUAUCUCAAGUAUGGUUUGAUGUUUCUUUUGCUGAUCUAUUCUCUAUAAUGUCCUAUGAUCAUCAGUUGAGGCUAUUUUCAAUAUGAUGCUUAUUUUACAAAAUCUAACCUAUUUAUAUUAUUUCAGUUUGCUGAUCAUGCCUUUUAAUUUUUGCAGCAUGAUAAAUCAUACACGCAGCACCUUUGAAGAUAUAGUGGAUGCAUAUUUGGCAUAUCUAAAUGUAGGCUUUGUUAGUUUGUUAAGGAUUCACUUAUCAUCCUCUACUUGGAAGUUUACACAAGUUUUAUGCAAGUGUGACUGGUAGCUUUAGAUUGGGGGAGAGAUCUGAUGUGUGCAUGGCCUAGCUUAAUGUAGCUGAAGGUUGUGUUGGAAUUAUUAUUUGCAUUGAUCGUUUGCCCUUGAUUUCAUUUGACAUAAUGUAUAGAACUUGACACCAGAUUUAUUGACAGAGCUUCCUGAUGACUAUACAUUUGAGACCACCUUAGCAGACUUGAUAGAUGAUUCACUGCAAGCAGUGUGGUCAAAUGGUGAAGGUGAAAGGAAGCUUAUUAGGUAAAUAUGAUAUAAAACGCAGAAAAGGAGACACUCAUUGAGGAGAAAUCUGCUGCCAUUAACAAAUUGGUGGCAGGGAAUGAACUAGGGAUUGAAGCUUAUCUAAAAGUUUGUUUAGGUGGGAUGAAGGUCAAGACUGACGAAGAUGAAUCAUCUCCUUAUGCUAAUUGCUGCUAUGCCCCUGUUGCAUGCUGCUAUUUUGCUCUACGCUACUGCUGUUCUACUGCUAAUCUGCUAUACUUGUUUUUUUUUUAAUUAAAA